RNAcentral lists this non-coding RNA (218 nucleotides) under Clostridium carboxidivorans. RNAcentral's name for it is "T-box sequence". It matches the Rfam family "T-box leader". From Rfam's summary of the family: Uncharged tRNA acts as the effector for transcription antitermination of genes in the T-box leader family. T-boxes are found upstream of many aminoacyl-tRNA synthetase genes and some amino acid biosynthetic genes usually in Gram-positive bacteria. The record is from RNAcentral. Lineage: Bacteria; Bacillati; Bacillota; Clostridia; Eubacteriales; Clostridiaceae.
UUAUUGGCUGUGAAGAAGAGGAGUAAAGGUAAGGAAUAUAUUAAGAGAGGAAAGUUUAUUGGCUGAAAGGCUUUCUAUAUGGAUUACUUUGAAGGUAGCUUCUGAGCUUCUUUAUUGAAAUUAAGUAGAUAAAGACGGUUUUCUUAACCGUUAGUUGUAUUAAGAGCCUGUAAUUUUGCAGGAAAAAAGGUGGUAACGCGAGGUUUUUCGUCCUUUUA